CAGAUAUAGAGAACAAACAUAUGGAUACCAAGGAGGAAGGGGGAAUUGAUUUCUCCACCUCACGAGGAUAGUAGUGUUCCCAGCUCUUUACAUUCAUGGACUAACUUAAUAACGGCCGUCUGAGGAAGCAGAAAACGACUUGUGCUACGACUUGCUCACUCUU
Long non-coding RNA from Orcinus orca (killer whale), 163 nucleotides. RefSeq lists it as uncharacterized. The record is from RefSeq and is a predicted model, not a curated record. The transcript has 3 exons. Lineage: Eukaryota; Metazoa; Chordata; Mammalia; Artiodactyla; Delphinidae.